RNAcentral lists this ribosomal RNA (418 nucleotides) under Rhizobium sp. Nfb5S. RNAcentral describes it as "bacterial SSU rRNA". It matches the Rfam family "Bacterial small subunit ribosomal RNA", at positions 976 to 1393 of the family's 1533-position model. Lineage: Bacteria; Pseudomonadati; Pseudomonadota; Alphaproteobacteria; Hyphomicrobiales; Rhizobiaceae. The record is from RNAcentral.
GGCCCUGGACAUGGUCCGGGCUAGCUACAGAGAUGUAGUGUUCCCUUCGGGGAACGCGGAACACAGGUGCUGCAUGGCUGUCGUCAGCUCGUGUCGUGAGAUGUUGGGUUAAGUCCCGCAACGAGCGCAACCCUCGCCCUUAGUUGCCAGCAUUCAGUUGGGCACUCUAAGGGGACUGCCGGUGAUAAGCCGAGAGGAAGGUGGGGAUGACGUCAAGUCCUCAUGGCCCUUACGGGCUGGGCUACACACGUGCUACAAUGGUGGUGACAGUGGGCAGCGAAGGAGCGAUCCCGAGCUAAUCUCCAAAAGCCAUCUCAGUUCGGAUUGCACUCUGCAACUCGAGUGCAUGAAGUUGGAUCGCUAGUAAUCGCGGAUCAGCACGCCGCGGUGAAUACGUUCCCGGUUGUGUACACACCGA